GGGCGUAAAGAGCUCGUAGGUGGUUUGAUACGUCGGAUGUGAAAAUCAGGUGCUCAACCCCUGACCUGCAUUCGAUACGGUCAAGCUAGAGUGUGGUAGGGGAGACUGGAAUUCCUGGUGUAGCGGUGGAAUGCGCAGAUAUCAGGAGGAACACCGAUGGCGAAGGCAGGUCUCUGGGCCAUUACUGACACUGAGGAGCGAAAGCGUGGGGAGCGAACAGGAUUAGAUACCCUGGUAGUCCACGCCGUAAACGGUGGGCGCUAGUUGUGCGAACCUUCCACGGUUUGUGCGACGCAGCUAACGCAUUAAGCGCCCCGCCUGGGGAGUACGAUCGCAAGAUUACAACUCAAAGGAAUUGACGGGGCCCCGCACAAGCAGCGGAGCAUGCGGCUUAAUUCGACGCAACGCGAAGAACCUUACCAAGGCUUGACAUAUACCGGAAUACGGCAGAGAUGUCGUAGCCGCAAGGUCGUGAUACAUGGUGGUGCAUGGUUGUCGUCAGCUCGUGUCGUGAGAUGUUUGGGUUAAGUCCCGCAACGAGCGCAACCCUCGUUCUGUGUUGCCAGCAUUUAGUUGGGGACUCACAGGAGACUGCCGGGGUUAACUCGGAGGAAGGUGGGGAUGACGUCAAAUCAUCAUGCCCCUUAUGUCUUGGGCUGCACGCAUGCUACAAUGGCUGGUACAAACGGCUGCAAUACCGCAAGGUGGAGCGAAUCCGAGAAAGCCAGUCUCAGUUCGGACUUGGGGUCUGCAACUCGACCCCAUGAAGUCGGAGUUGCUAGUAAUC
RNAcentral lists this ribosomal RNA (787 nucleotides) under uncultured bacterium. RNAcentral describes it as "bacterial SSU rRNA". It matches the Rfam family "Bacterial small subunit ribosomal RNA", at positions 556 to 1343 of the family's 1533-position model. The record is from RNAcentral.